RNAcentral lists this ribosomal RNA (497 nucleotides) under uncultured bacterium. RNAcentral's name for it is "partial 16S ribosomal RNA". It matches the Rfam family "Bacterial small subunit ribosomal RNA", at positions 28 to 507 of the family's 1533-position model. The record is from RNAcentral.
GAUGAACGCUGGCGGCGUGCCUAAUACAUGCAAGUCGAGCGAACGGACGAGAAGCUUGCUUCUCUGAUGUUAGCGGCGGACGGGUGAGUAACACGUGGAUAACCUACCUAUAAAACUGGGAUAACUUCGGGAAACCGGAGCUAAUACCGGAUAAUAUUUUGAACCGCAUGGUUCAAAAGUGAAAGACGGUCUUGCUGUCACUUAUAGAUGGAUCCGCGCUGCAUUAGCUAGUUGGUAAGGUAACGGCUUACCAAGGCAACGAUGCAUAGCCGACCUGAGAGGGUGAUCGGCCACACUGGAACUGAGACACGGUCCAGACUCCUACGGGAGGCAGCAGUAGGGAAUCUUCCGCAAUGGGCGAAAGCCUGACGGAGCAACGCCGCGUGAGUGAUGAAGGUCUUCGGAUCGUAAAACUCUGUUAUUAGGGAAGAACAUAUGUGUAAGUAACUGUGCACAUCUUGACGGUACCUAAUCAGAAAGCCACGGCUAACUACGUG